Gambusia affinis (western mosquitofish) is the source of this 1424-nucleotide long non-coding RNA. RefSeq lists it as uncharacterized. The record is from RefSeq and is a predicted model, not a curated record. The transcript is spliced from 5 exons. Lineage: Eukaryota; Metazoa; Chordata; Actinopteri; Cyprinodontiformes; Poeciliidae.
GAUGGACUGACAGCCGAUUUAAUAUAUAGAUGUGUUAUUUAUAUACAUUCCUUUUUAAAUAAAUAACUGGUUUGUUCGCAAAGAUGCUGAGUUUUUUCUUUAGUCAGGAGAAUAUUUAUGAAAUAUUUAUUUUUAUCUUUAAAACAGAAUAAUUACGAUAAUUUGGCUUCAGAGCUCAAUUAUAUAAUUUAUAUCGCAUGCUAAGAAAAUGACACACUUAUGCUUUCUGAUAAUAUAAUAAACUAACAAGCUAAAAUGUACUUACGGGGGAAUUUAGUUCCUUGUGUUUUACUUUGAAAGAAUCCAAAGGAAGUGCUUUUCACAUAUCAGUUCUCUAGCUUUACUCUGGUUGUAUUUACAUACUGAGUCCACUAGGGGGCAGAAAGCUAAGUUAUCAGUUAGAAAGUAUCCCGCUCCUGAUCGGCUAAUGAAGCCCUUGUUGCUCUCUUCGUGUUUCUGCUGUUUUAUUUCUUAAAUCUUCUUUCUACUUUAACAUGCGAUCAAUGUUUUAUCUGUCAGUGUGAACUACAAGCAGCUGCACAGAGAUGAAAACAGCCCGCAGAGACUCUGAGCGGAGCUAGCGAUGCUAGCGAUGCUAACAGGCUCCAGCAGCAGCUUCAGAGGAGCUGUGGUUCCUAAACUGGAGCUUCAGCUCCAACAGAGCUGAAACAAAGCUCUACAACUCUGGUUUAGACGCUAAGAUGUUGAGUUUCCGGUCUGAAGAGCGACGAACUGAACUAUUAUUGAUAUCGGAGCAGGGCGGUUUCUGCCCUCUAGUGGACCCAGAUUGUAACUACAGCUACUUGAUAAAGUUAGAGCGUUUACAAACGACAUACACUUCCGUUCCUUCAUUCAGAGACUCAAACUGAAAUGUUCUUUAGUGAAGAAGAAGCUUCGUCUGGAUCUGAUGUUGAAGCUGCAGUUUGAAUCCGUCUCAGGAUUCGGUUCAGAAUCCAGUUCAUGUCACUGAUCAGCAUCGUUGUGGCUCCAGAACGUGGCCCACCUCUACCUGUGCAGGCUGGAGGAGGCUAAGAGGAGGUUCUGAUGGAUCCGGUCUUUACCAGCUGUGGACACUGGUUCUGCAGGAAAUGCAUCGGGUGCUACUGGGACCAGUCUGUUCCAUUUGGACCCUCCUCCUGCCCCCAGUGUGGAGAACGACCCAGAACAGGAGCUGAACGUCUGACAGCCAAUCAGAGCAGCUGUUCUCCAGGAGGAUCAUUCCAGAAGUCGGGUCAGAACCGGCCGGUAGUCGGGUCGAUGGUGAUGGAGGCGGCGCGGUCCGAGCUGCAGCUCUUUGGAUCAUGUGACGUUUAGUUUCUUUCUGAAUGUAACGUGUUUGUUCUGGUUCUUCUUCAUGUGUAUUUAUGCCGCUGCGCCACCAGCAGAUAUUUAUUCACAUCCAAAUAAAAACUAAAUAUGAAAAA